GCUGGAAUAGCUCAGUUGGGAGAUCGUUAGACUGAAAUUGUUUACGCAACAGUCAUCUAAAGGCCCCCGGUUCAAUCCCGGGUUCCGACA
RNAcentral lists this transfer RNA (90 nucleotides) under Dreissena polymorpha. It matches the Rfam family "tRNA". From Rfam's summary of the family: Transfer RNA (tRNA) molecules are approximately 80 nucleotides in length. Lineage: Eukaryota; Metazoa; Mollusca; Bivalvia; Myida; Dreissenidae. The record is from Rfam by way of RNAcentral.